CUACAAGAACAGAAAACAAUCCUUGACUGAUCUGAAGUUUUAUGGCACUUUUGGCAGUCAACUUUAGCGUAUCUCUAAGCAGGAUUCUCUAAGAACCUUGUUUUGUCACUUCAUUCAGACCAAGCGGAAAUU
RNAcentral lists this small RNA (132 nucleotides) under Pogona vitticeps (central bearded dragon). RNAcentral describes it as "HOXA11 antisense RNA 1 conserved region 5 (ENSPVIG00000008623.1)". The stretch from base 1 to 86 matches the Rfam family "HOXA11 antisense RNA 1 conserved region 5". The record is from RNAcentral. Lineage: Eukaryota; Metazoa; Chordata; Lepidosauria; Squamata; Agamidae.